ACAGGGAUUACCUCAGUAACGGCGAGUGAAGCGGUAACAGCUCAAAUUUGAAAUCUGGGGGGCCCGAGUUGUAAUUUGGAGAAGAUGCUUUGGGUGCGGUCCUUGGAACAGGACGUCAGAGAGGGUGAGAAUCCCGUAUGUGAUUGGGUGUCCGCGCCUAUGUAAAGCUCUUUCGACGAGUCGAGUUGUUUGGGAAUGCAGCUCAAAAUGGGUGGUAUAUUUCAUCUAAAGCUAAAUAUGGGCCAGAGACCGAUAGCGCACAAGUAGAGUGAUCGAAAGAUGAAAAGCACUUUGGAAAGAGAGUUAAACAGUACGUGAAAUUGUUGAAAGGGAAGCGCUUGCAACCAGACUUGCGUGCGGCCCGUCACCUGGGGCACUGGGUCGCGCAGGCCAGCAUCGGUUGGUGGUUGGAGAAAGGAACGUGGCUCCCCCUCCCGGCGCCAUGCAGCCACCCAGACCGAGGACCGCGCUCCGGUUGUAAGCGACCCGUCUUGAAACACGGACCAAGGAGUCUAACAUCUAUGCGAGUGUUUGGGUGAAAACCCAUGCGCGGAAUUAACGUGAACGGAGGUGAGGUGCAUCAUCGACCGAUCCUGAUGUCUUCGGAUGGAUUUGAGUAAGAGCAUAGCUGUUGGGACCCGAAAGAUGGUGAACUAUGCCUAAAUAGGGUGAAGCCAGAGGAAACUCUGGUGGAGGCUCGGUUCUGACGUGCAAAUCGAUCGUCAAAUUUGGGGCGAAAGACUAAUCG
RNAcentral lists this ribosomal RNA (748 nucleotides) under Chlorociboria aeruginosa. RNAcentral describes it as "partial large subunit ribosomal RNA". It matches the Rfam family "Eukaryotic large subunit ribosomal RNA", at positions 68 to 937 of the family's 3401-position model. Lineage: Eukaryota; Fungi; Ascomycota; Leotiomycetes; Helotiales; Chlorociboriaceae. The record is from RNAcentral.